RNAcentral lists this ribosomal RNA (229 nucleotides) under uncultured bacterium. RNAcentral describes it as "partial 16S ribosomal RNA". It matches the Rfam family "Bacterial small subunit ribosomal RNA", at positions 568 to 796 of the family's 1533-position model. The record is from RNAcentral.
UCCGUAGGCGGGCAGCUAAGUCAGUGGUGAAAGUCUGCAGCUCAACUGUAGAAUUGCCAUUGAUACUGGUUGUCUUGAAUUAUUAUGAAGUGGUUAGAAUAUGUAGUGUAGCGGUGAAAUGCAUAGAUAUUACAUAGAAUACCAAUUGCGAAGGCAGAUCACUAAUAAUAUAUUGACGCUGAUGGACGAAAGCGUGGGUAGCGAACAGGAUUAGAUACCCUGGUAGUCC